AACGAACGCUGGCGGCAUGCCUAACACAUGCAAGUCGAACGAGACCUUCGGGUCUAGUGGCGCACGGGUGCGUAACGCGUGGGAACCUGCCUUUAGGUUCGGAAUAACUCAGAGAAAUUUGAGCUAAUACCGGAUGAUGUCUUCGGACCAAAGAUUUAUCGCCUUUAGAUGGGCCCGCGUUGGAUUAGCUAGUUGGUGGGGUAAAGGCCUACCAAGGCGACGAUCCAUAGCUGGUCUGAGAGGAUGAUCAGCCACACUGGGACUGAGACACGGCCCAGACUCCUACGGGAGGCAGCAGUGGGGAAUAUUGGACAAUGGGCGAAAGCCUGAUCCAGCAAUGCCGCGUGAGUGAUGAAGGCCUUAGGGUUGUAAAGCUCCUUUACCCGAGAUGAUAAUGACAGUAGCGGGAGAAUAAGCUCCGGCUAACUCCGUG
Molecule: ribosomal RNA, 433 nt
Filed under: uncultured bacterium
Lineage: Bacteria
Description: partial 16S ribosomal RNA
Rfam family: Bacterial small subunit ribosomal RNA
Source: RNAcentral